Molecule: long non-coding RNA, 488 nt
Organism: Haliotis rubra (blacklip abalone)
Lineage: Eukaryota; Metazoa; Mollusca; Gastropoda; Lepetellida; Haliotidae
Exons: 4
Source: RefSeq, a predicted model, not a curated record
CUUUCCGUGAUAUCACCUGGCUCACAAACAUUAACUGAUGAGUAAUGGAUGUUUCAACACAUCACAGGUCCGGGUUCGGGGGUAUAUAGUAAUAGCAAAUUUCGCUUCCAGACUAUUGAGUGUUGCCAAGUCCCAAGUUGAAGAUGCGUCCUGUGUGCGUCUUUCUCCUGGUCUUCAUUCUAGCGGCGCCGACCUCGUCUUUCUUGUUUCGCGUUUUCCGUCGCCGACGUCGUCGUCAUGUUAUCGUGGUAAAUCAACCGUACCCGCCCAGCCCCGUCUACUACUAUCGUCGUCGUCGUCGCUUUUGGAAAAGAGAUGCGGUUGCCGUCGAGCCGGACGAGGACGCAAUACAGUACGCAAACAGAAACCUCAUCACGGAAAGAAACGCUGAUUUUCCUGACGCAGGGGAAUAAGGUGAAGGACGCACCCAGAAGUCUGUACUCAGCAGCCGCUGUGUCCGUCACAGCUGAAUAAAGCAUUUAACAUAC